Lycium barbarum (goji berry) is the source of this 862-nucleotide long non-coding RNA. RefSeq lists it as uncharacterized. The transcript is spliced from 2 exons. The record is from RefSeq and is a predicted model, not a curated record. Lineage: Eukaryota; Viridiplantae; Streptophyta; Magnoliopsida; Solanales; Solanaceae.
UCAGCCUUGAUUUCUCAAAAUACAGUGACCAAACGUACCCUUUCGUCAAUUCUUAAAAUACAGCGACCAAAUGAACCCUAAGCCUUCAACUAGCAAACGUUGAGCCCCAACGGUAUGAAAAGCCAUUUUUGGCUAGCUUUUGGCAUGCCUCUGUUCAUCCAGAGGUUUGUUCGCCUAUUUCCGGAAAGGAAUUAAAUGCACCCUUGUCUUCUUCUCUUUUCCAAAAUUAUUUUGAUUUCUCCUUUUCUUUGGUGAAGAUUCAGAUUUCAAACAUGGUUCAACAAAUAUUCAGUAUUGAAAUCCGUCCCACAUCGAAUUUUAACCUAAAAUUUGAACAUUUUGGGGUUCUAUGUAAAGAAUCCCAUUCUCUUCAUUUACGGACGAAGUUUUUUUUGACAACCACAAAAAAUAUGUUUUCACACCCCAAGUUCUGAACUUUUCAAUUUUUUAGCUUUAAACAAGAAAUUUUCUCUUGUAUGCUGAGUUUUUGAAUCAUAGGAACAAAUUAAAAAAAAGUCGAGUUCGAAUUCGUUGUUGGUGAAAUGUCGAAGGUGAUCGGUUUAACUCUCGUCGCCCCCAUCGCUGCUCGACAAAAGGUACAAAUAAAGUGAAGUUGUGGAGGAAAGCUUAAAGAAGAAGUAAAAGAAUCGGAUGCUUAGAGCUUUGGAUAAGGAAUCAGCAAACGUGGAAUAAUCGCGAUUAAAGGUCCAAGAAGGCAAGGAGACAGUAUUAGCUAUUCUAGUCUUUCUCCAACUUCCCCUCUCUCCCUCUCUUUAUUUGUCUUUUGUAAAUUUGUAUACAUACAUGACUUGUAAAUUCUUGUGUAUUAUUGAAACCCAUAGUUAGAAUUUAGUUAAAACAA